GUGCCAGCCGCCGCGGUAAUACGGAGGGUGCAAGCGUUAUCCGGAUCCACUGGGUCUAAAGGGUGUGUAGGCGGGCUUUUAAGUCAGUGGUGAAAUCUCCGAGCUCAACUUGGAAACUGCCAUUGAUACUAUUAGUCUUGAAUGUUGUUGAGGUGGGCGGAAUAAGUCAUGUAGCGGUGAAAUGCUUAGAUAUGACUUAGAACACCGAUUGCGAAGGCAGCUCACUAAACAAUGAUUGACGCUGAGGCACGAAAGCGUGGGGAUCAAACAGGAUUAGAUACCCUGGUAGUCC
RNAcentral lists this ribosomal RNA (292 nucleotides) under uncultured bacterium. Its description in RNAcentral is "partial 16S ribosomal RNA". It matches the Rfam family "Bacterial small subunit ribosomal RNA", at positions 505 to 796 of the family's 1533-position model. The record is from RNAcentral.